Molecule: ribosomal RNA, 329 nt
Filed under: uncultured eukaryote
Lineage: Eukaryota
Description: partial 18S ribosomal RNA
Rfam family: Eukaryotic small subunit ribosomal RNA
Source: RNAcentral
CCCUUAGAUGUCCUGGGCCGCACGCGCGCCACACUGAGUGUCUGAGAUACGAGUCUGCCCGGUCCGGCAAGGUCUAGGUAAUCGCUAAAAGACACAUCAUGCUUGGGAUAGAUUAUUGCAAAUAUUAAUCUUGAACGAGGAAUUCCUAGUAAGCGCAAGUCAACAGCUUGCGUUGAUUACGUCCCUGCCCUUUGUACACACCGCCCGUCGCUACUACUGAUUGGAUGUUUAAGCGAGGUUCUCGAACUGCUAGCGACUUAGCUUCGGUGAGGUCGCAGUGUGGGAAGUGAACCUAGCUUUGGUGUCUAGAGGAAGUAAAAGUCGUAACA